UACGUAGGGGGCAAGCGUUGUCCGGAAUUAUUGGGCGUAAAGAGCGUGUAGGCGGGUAUUUAAGUCAGGUGUGAAAACUUGGGGCUCAACCUCAUAGAUUGCACUUGAAACUGGAUACCUUGAGGGUAAGAGAGGGCAGUGGAAUUCCUAGUGUAGCGGUGAAAUGCGUAGAUAUUAGGAGGAACACCAGUGGCGAAGGCGACUGCCUGGCUUACAACUGACGCUGAGACGCGAAAGCGUGGGGAGCAAACAGG
Molecule: ribosomal RNA, 254 nt
Filed under: uncultured bacterium
Lineage: Bacteria
Description: partial 16S ribosomal RNA
Rfam family: Bacterial small subunit ribosomal RNA
Source: RNAcentral